Molecule: long non-coding RNA, 379 nt
Organism: Equus quagga
Lineage: Eukaryota; Metazoa; Chordata; Mammalia; Perissodactyla; Equidae
Exons: 2
Source: RefSeq, a predicted model, not a curated record
CCCAUCCACCCACUGGGCCUCCUACCCAGUUGUCUGUCAAGGUCGCCAUAAGACAGUCUAAUCCAUAUGGCGAAAGAAUAAAAGGAAAACGGUCAUGUGCAGAUCAUCCGGGAAGGAUGAAGACGAAGUGAAAGCAUUGCUGAAGUUGAUCUUACCCUCUGGACUUAUUUGGGAAGAAGAAGUUUCUAAGCUCCAAGUCACUUGAAGAUUGAAUAUUCCUUAAAUUGUUUUCUGUUCAAGGACCAUCAGAGUGAACCUAGCAAUUUAGCGCACAAUCAAGAAACACCACCUGGAAAACUCAUUAUGUAAAGCAAAAGUAUUUUUUAUGUUUAAAAGAAAAUAUUAAAAAUAUGCUUUUCAUUCACUUUGCAAAACCUUU